AUGCACGCUGGCGGCGUGCCUAAUCCCUGCCAGUCGCGCGAACAGACGAGAGUGCUUGCACUCUCUGACGUUAGCGGCGGACGGGUGAGUAACACGUGGGUAACCUACCUAUAAGACUGGGAUAACUUCGGGAAACCGGAGCUAAUACCGGAUAAUAUUUAGCUUCGCAUGAAGCAAUAGUGAAAGACGGUUCUGCUGUCACUUAUAGAUGGACCCGCGGUGUAUUAGCUAGUUGGUGAGGUAACGGCUCACCAAGGCAACGAUACAUAGCCGACCUGAGAGGGUGAUCGGCCACACUGGGACUGAGACACGGCCCAGACUCCUACGGGAGGCAGCAGUAGGGAAUCUUCCGCAAUGGACGAAAGUCUGACGGAGCAAUGCCGCGUGAGUGAAGAAGGUUUUCGGAUCGUAAAACUCUGUUGUAAGGGAAGAACAAGUACGUUAGUAACUGAACGUACCUUGACGGUACCUUACCAGAAAGCCACGGCUAACUACGUG
RNAcentral lists this ribosomal RNA (498 nucleotides) under uncultured bacterium. RNAcentral describes it as "partial 16S ribosomal RNA". It matches the Rfam family "Bacterial small subunit ribosomal RNA", at positions 29 to 507 of the family's 1533-position model. The record is from RNAcentral.